Molecule: ribosomal RNA, 465 nt
Filed under: uncultured bacterium
Lineage: Bacteria
Description: partial 16S ribosomal RNA
Rfam family: Bacterial small subunit ribosomal RNA
Source: RNAcentral
GACGAACGCUGGCGGCGUGCUUAACACAUGCAAGUCGGACGGAAAGGCCCUGCUUGCAGGGUACUCGAGUGGCGAACGGGUGAGUAACACGUGGGUGAUCUGCCCUGCACUUCGGGAUAAGCCUGGGAAACUGGGUCUAAUACCGGAUAGGAGCCAUUUUUAGUGUGAUGGUUGGAAAGUUUUUUCGGUGUAGGAUGAGCUCGCGGCCUAUCAGCUUGUUGGUGGGGUAAUGGCCUACCAAGGCGGCGACGGGUAGCCGGCCUGAGAGGGUGGACGGCCACAUUGGGACUGAGAUACGGCCCAGACUCCUACGGGAGGCAGCAGUGGGGAAUAUUGCACAAUGGGCGCAAGCCUGAUGCAGCGACGCCGCGUGGGGGAUGACGGCCUUCGGGUUGUAAACUCCUUUCGCUAGGGACGAAGCUUUUUGUGACGGUACCUAGAUAAGAAGCACCGGCUAACUACGUG